AGCAGCCGCGGUAAUUCCAGCUCCAAUAGCGUAUAUUAAAGUUGUUGCAGUUAAAAAGCUCGUAGUUGAAUUUCGGGGUCAGUAGGUUGGUCGUGCCACUGGUAUGUACUGGCCUCACUGAUUCCUCCUUCCUGAUGAACCGUAAUGCCAUUAAUUUGGUGUUGCGGGGAAUCUGGACUGUUACUUUGAAAAAAUUAGAGUGUUUAAAGCAGGCUAACGCUUGAAUACAUUAGCAUGGAAUAAUGGAAUAGGACGUUCGAUCCUAUUUUGUUGGUUUCUAGGAUUGACGUAAUGAUUAAUAGGGAUAGUUGGGGGCAUUAGUAUUCAAUUGUCAGAGGUGAAAUUCUUGGAUUUAUUGAAGACUAACUACUGCGAAAGCAUUUGCCAAGGAUGUUUUCAUUAAUCAAGAACGAAAGUUAGGGGAUCGAAGACGAUCAGAUACCGUCGUAGUCUUAACCAUAAACUAUGCCGACUAGGGAUCGGAUGAUGUUAAUUUUUUAAUGACUCAUUCGGCGCCUUACG
Molecule: ribosomal RNA, 522 nt
Filed under: uncultured Glomus
Lineage: Eukaryota; Fungi; Glomeromycota; Glomeromycetes; Glomerales; Glomeraceae
Description: SSU rRNA
Rfam family: Eukaryotic small subunit ribosomal RNA
Source: RNAcentral